This 31289-nucleotide long non-coding RNA is filed under the name Citrus sinensis (sweet orange). Its description in RNAcentral is "long non-coding RNA (CSIN_LNC003497)". Lineage: Eukaryota; Viridiplantae; Streptophyta; Magnoliopsida; Sapindales; Rutaceae. The record is from RNAcentral.
UUUUUUUUUUUUUUUGUGUUGUUUUUUUGGGGUGGGGUGGGGUGGUGAAAAAGACUCAAAAUUUUGAUACAUAAAUUCAUAUUAUUUUAAAUUUUUGACACUAAAUAUAUUUAUUACCAUAAAAAUUUCAAUAACUUAUUCACAAAUAUGAUUUAAUAUAUUCAUAUUAAAUACAUUUUCUUAUCUUAGUUAACUUAAUUUAUAGUAAAAUAAUGUAUUCUUAACUAACUAUAAUUUAUGAUAAAUGUGAAUAUGAAUUUAAUAUGUAGUUAAUUUUUUUUGUUGCAUAAUACUCAUCUAACAUACAAUCAAUAAUUUGAAUAUGUAAUAUAAAUAUAUUUAUGUUUUGAGUUGUUUUUCAGAACAAGUCUUUAUUCACACGUUGCAGUCCUCCCAAACGUGCUGGCCCAAAUUAGCUAGCUUUUGUUUCAUAAUUUGCUGACAAAGACUUGUUGACUUGUUGAUGUAAAAAAUUGUUUAAUUUAAUUAGAGCCUUCCUUUUUGUUCCUUUUUUUUUUACUUUUUUGGUUCCACGAACGUGCCCAGCGAAAAUUUUACAACAUUUACUUAUUUGUGCAACUGGAGAAGAUGGCAUAAAAGUCCCCCCAGUACUAAAAGACCCACCGAAUCUGGAUUGCUAUAUUUGUGCUAUUAACAUUAUAAUUCCUGAUAUAUAUAUAUAUUUGGGUUGUUGUUUGGGGGGUGUUGAAAAGGACUCAAAAUUUUGAUACAUAAAUUCAUAUUCUUAAAUUUUUGACACUUAAAUAUAUUUAUUACCAUAAAAAAUUCAAUAUGACUUGUUCACAAAUAUGAUUUAAUAUAUUCAUAUUAAAUACAUUUUCUUAUCUUAGUUAAUUUAAUUUAUAGUAAAAUAAUUUAUUAUUGACUAACUAUAAUUUAUGAUAAAUGUGAAUAUGAAUUGAAUACGUAGUUAAUAUUUUUUUUUGUUGCAUAAUACUCAUCUAACAUACAAUCAAUAAUUUGAAUAUGUAACAAAAAUAUUUUUAUCUUUUCGGUUGUUUUCAGAGCGACUCUUCAUUCACACGUUGCAGUCCUCCCAAACCUGCUGGCCCAAAUUUGUUCGCAUUUGUUUCAAAGUUUGCUGACAAAGGGUUAUUGACUUAUUGAUGUAAAAAAUUGUUUAAUUUUACAGCAUUUACUUGUUGUAAGAAGAACUAUUCAGCUGACGGCUAUUACAAAUCAUAAAUAUAAAUUACUCUGAAAGAACUCUGAAAGGUGGUAAGUGGUGGUGAGAUGGGAUGUUAAGCUGAACAAAGAAGAACUAUUCAGCUGACGGCUAUUAGUAUUAAUUCAGCUUUGAGUUUGCUAGUAGCGAAACAUAAAACCCUCCAUCGAGCUGGAACGAGAUUUUCCAUUAUUAGGAGAAAAAUAAAUAAAGACCAAAGGAUUUAUCUAGUUAUUUCUCAUAUUUUAAAGAAUUACUUAAAAAUCGCUUCUCUUUUCAUUAUUUCUAUAACUAUUAGAUUAAUAAUAUAAAUAGUGAUCAAAUAUAGAAAUGAAAAUUAUGAAUGGACUUUAUUAAUUUUUAGGAUUAGAUUAUACUUGAUUGAAUAAUAAAUAAUAUUGUCCUUUGUUUGUUAUAAAUGCCGGACAUGAUUAUAUUAAACUUAAUUAAAUAAAAGUUCAAAUAAUUAUUUAAAUACAGUAGAGUAAUUAUCUUUAUAUUAUACUAUUAAAUGUUGAAUUUGAUAUAUAAUAUUCAAUAUUAUUGUAAAUUAAUAAUUGAAUAAGUUUUAUUUUUAAUACUCAAUAUUGGUUUAAAUAUAUUAUUGAAUGAAAAUUUUUGAAAUUUGAUCUUAUAUUAAAUACUAGUGUAAAUAAAUUGUUGAAUUAAAAUUUUGAUAUUAAUCUCAAAUAAAAUUCGUGUUAAAAUAAGUUAAUGAAUAAAUUUUGAUAUUUACUAUAAAAAUAAAAUUGUGAUUUAAAAAAAAUAGGCAAUUAAUUUGUUAAAUCUAAUUUAUAAUAAAUAUUAUAUUAUAUAAAAAGUGAAAGACAGCUAAAGAGGAUUUUAUUCUAAACUCAUACUAAAAAGAGGGUAAAUAAUCCCAUUCAUUUUGAGUUGAUGUUACGUACGUGUAGGGUAAAGAAGAAAAGGAGAAGAAUAAAAAUCAACGUUGACUGAAGCAGCAUUAACACAAACACAUCUCAAGAAUCCAAACAAACAAAGAAUCACUUUCCUUGUGGAAAAAAAUUUCCAACUCCAUCUUUCUGCAUAUUUGACAAAGAGUUAUUGACAUUAUAGUCCCUGAUUUUGGUUAACAAAGAGUCAAACAUUUCAAAAUUUUGAUAUAUAAAUUUAUAUUAUUUUAAAUUUUUUACAUGUAAAUAUAUAUUUUACCAUCAAAAUGACUUAUUCAUACAUGUGAUUUAAUAUAUUGAUCAUAUUAAUACAUUUCUUAUUUUAGUUAAUUUAAUUUAUAGUAAAAUUAUGUAUUAACUAACUAUAAUUUAUGAUAUAGUUUAAUUUAAUAAAGUUAUGUGUUAAUUUAAUAAAGUUAAAACCACUAUUUACAUAUAGUAGUAUAAUUAUCUUUAAAUUAUACUCCUAAAUGUUGAAUUUGAUAUUUAUAUACAAUCUUAUUGUUAAUUAAUAAUUGAAUAAUUCUUAUGUUUAAUAUUCAAUACCGAUUUAAAUAUAUUAUUGAAUAGAAGUUUUUGAUAUCUGAUCUUUAUAUUAAGUACUAUUGUAAAUAAAUUAUUGAAUUAAAAUUUUGAUAUUAAUCUUAAAUAAAAUACAUGUUAAAAUAGGUUAAUGAGUAAGUUUUGGUAUUUAGUAUAAUACAAAAUUCUAGUUUAAAUAAAUUAGGCAAUUAAUUUUUUAAAUUUAAUAAAUAAUAAAUUCUAAAGUAAAUAAAAAAGGGAAAGAUAGAUAAACACCAUGUUAUCUUAAACUCACAUUGAAAAGAGGAUUAUUAAUUUUGGAUUAAUAUUUGGACUAAAUAGCCAGCGCUGAUAGCUAAACAUGACCCUUUAAGUGAUAUUAACCAUGUAAUGACCCUAAAUAAAUAUAAUGUGAAAAGGGAAAAAUAAAAUGUUAGUUUAAUUUAAGGGGUAAGGUAAUUAUAGAAUCUGUAUGCUACAGACUGCAGCAUCAGCCGUUAGAUGUGGUUGGAUGUGAAGUGAGAAAUCAAACAAUAGAAAAUGAGAUUAUUUAGACUACACGAGGCAACCAGAUUAUUGAACAAGAUUUGAUAAGUAAAUAGUGACGCGGCUUGUAAGUCAACAAAUUGUGACGCGGCUUGUAAUUCUUAGCCGCUCUAUUUGUCAUAUGUAUAAACAAGAAGAAGAAGCUCACGUCUCAAAUAUUGUUUUAUUGAUGCGAGGGUACUUCUUUUGCAUAGACUAAAAAAAGAAGAAGAAAAUAAUAUUCAUUAUAGUCCCUGAUUUUGCCGUAAAAUAAUAAAAGCGAAAAUUUUCAAAAUUUUGAUACAUAAAUUCAUAUUAUUUUAAAUUUUUUAUGCUUAAAUAUCGUCAAAAUGACUUAUUAACACAUAUGAUUUAACAUAAUAAAAUUAAUGCAUUUUAUUAUUAAUUGGUUAAUUUAAUUUAAAGUAAAAAAUUAUGUAUUAUUAACAAACUCUAAUUUAUAACAAAUAUGAAUAUUAAUUUAAUUUUAUGUUCUUAAUAUGUAGUUGAUAUUUUAUUUUUUUCAUAAUACUUAUCUGAUAUAAAAUUAAUAAUUUCAAUAUUUAAUAAAAAUAAUUAAUUUACCAAUAAUAUAUAGAAAAUGUUAACUCUUUAAAAUAGUAUUAGAAGGAGGAAAAAAAAGAUAAUAAUAAGAACUUGCCAGUCCUUGAUUCUUGUUGUUAGAAGCUUGAUAAACAAUAUCCUUAUAAUUAUUCAUGAUGGCCUAUAUUUUUAUUAAGUUUUUUUGUAUAAUGAUAAGUUAAUAAACUACCGACGGGACAAAAGACAAAUGAGACAAUAACUUGGUAUAUAUGUUUUCUAUUUUGCAUUUGGUAAAUAAAAUCAGCUUAGCAGCUAUAUACAUGUUGAUAGUGAGAGUCAAGGAAUGCUUAAGAUUUAGAAGUAAAGCCUUUUUGUACUCGCAAUCACGAUUAGCUAGGAAUAAUUUUCCCAUACCUUCUUUAAUAACUUUGGGUCAGUGAUAGAAUUCAAUUGCUAAUUGCUAGAGAUAUGAAACUGAUACUAGUUGACAUGUAAAUAAUUUUAAUAAAUUUAUUUAGUAAAAAUUAAAAAUUAGCUAAUAAGGAUAUAUUUGACAUUUAAUAAGGUGUUUAUGGUAAAAUGUUUAUGGUUUUAAUAAAUAAAUAGCUGUUGGUGUAGAGAGUAUUUUCAUGAAUUCAAAUAAACCCACCCUUUAAUCUAAGUUGAAAAGAUUAAAACAAGUAGGACUAAUGAAUCAAAAUUUAGAAAUCUCUGAUGUUUUUUUAUUUUAAAAUAAAUACGGAUACUGCAGUGUAAUUAACCCAACCCAACUUUUUCAGAUCCUCGGCGCUUGCCAACAUCACAGGGCCAACAUCACAUUGUAUAGAUUUCUCUGUUCAUUUCAACGGAAAAAAACAGUGGGAAAAAAGCAACAUCGGAGUUCAAGAGCUGAAUAGGUUCGUUAGAAAUCAAUAUGAUGCAUCAACAGCAUGUUAAUCCUUCAAGGUAAUUGUCAGCAUGUAAACUUUCAUUGCAGUUUUUUUUUUUUUUUUUAAACUUUGGCUUGUUUAAGCAUGUCUGUUUUCAGUUGUUUUGGCAGAGUAUGAUGAAUAUAUGCGAGGUUUGUAUGCUGGUGCUUGAUCCUUCUGCUGUGCAUUUGUACUUUGGUUUGUUUGUUAAUAUAUAUGAGGGUUGCAUGCCGCUGCUUGCUUCUGCUGCUGUGCAUCUGUACUUUGGUUUGUUUAGUAUCUCUGUUUUUAAGUUGUUUUCCAGAGCUACCCAUGAAUCAUGUUAUUUUAAGCCCAGUAAUAUAUAAGAGGUUUUUUUGGCUCGUUUGCUGUCGCUUUGUUGUUGCUACUGCUGCUGCUGUCGUUUAUGUUGCUGUUGUUGUUCCUGCUCUGUUUCUUCAGAGCAUGAUAUGAAGUAAUAUCAGAUUUGGACACACACCCGGAUGAUUGAUAGAUGAUAAAUGAACACCCUUUAAUCAAGAAAUAACACAAAAAAUUAAUCAAGAUUAAACACAACAAAUGAUCAAUUGCAGAAAACGCACUCAACAGAACACAAAACAAGCUUCUGAUUUUAACAAUCACGGCUCGCCACCAUUGUUCCAGAGGAAAAUCUGCGAGGCAUAAAUAAAUUUUGACGGAUUUGCAGAGUUCACAAUUUUUCAUUCCCCUAGUUUUGAUCCCAGAAAAAUAACCCUUAGCAUAUAACAUCUCCCUUCUCCUCUUUAUUGCUACUUCUGCUAACCUCUCCAUGAAUGUGUAUUGAUUUUUUUGGCAGAAAUGAAAAUUUCUUUUCCACGAUUCCGCACCUAAAAGUUUUUGGAUAUCUGAUUGCAACCAUUGCUGCUGUUCUGGGUGCAAGUGUACAAGGCCUGCCCCAGCCGUUGAAGGAGACUCACAGAGUAUGCUUGUAUGUGUUUCUUGUGGCUAUAAUCGUCCAGUGUAUUGCAUUUGUAGCCCAACGAAAUCAAGCAAAUCAUUCACACUUUUGGGGCCUUAUUGCUGUUAUUUGUGGGUCUCUUUCUACGGUGUCAUUGAUCUCCGCAUUUUUCACUCACUCAGUUGCUGAAAUAAUUUGCUACAUUGCAUUAGGUUGCGCAGCUAUUAUCAUUGUUGUCUAUCAAUAUGGCAGCAUGUUCAUCAAUGCUUGUCGUCGGAUCUACGAUGACAUGUUGGAAUUGUUUCAAGCUAUCAAUAUCUAUUCCACAGAACAACAGCAAAGGCCAGCCGAUGAUAUAAUUGAAGAAGUUUAACAGAGAGAUUCCACUUAUAUUUCAGAUUUCAAUAGGACCAAAAUGUAUACUCUAUAUAUUUGAUCUCAUUAGAAGUUUAUGUUCAUUCCAUAAUAUAGUUUUGAUAAUGUUACACAUUUUUACUUGCGAUCCUCGCGGCCCAAUGCAGAAGAUGAUGUUGUUAAUCAAUUCCAAAUGUUGGUGGAAAAUGGCUUCAUUGUGUCGUCACAACAAAGUUAAUGACAAGCUUUCAUAGAUAGCCUGCCAUAUUUACGAUACUUUAUAUAUAUAUCAAAAUAAAGUUUCUUGUUCAAAUAGAGACUUGAUAUCAGCUGCAAGGACAGAGCAAUAGAUUUCUUGGUCCACAAGAAACCAAAAUCUCACUACUAAACAUAACAGAUACUACUUGCUUCAGCUCAUUCAUCUUGUAUGUUUCUUUUGAAUCAUAAAUGUGUGAAAAGCAUUGAGAUAAAGGACGCCAAUGCGGUCAAGGAAAAGAAAGAACUCAAGAACAUUUGUCUUGGGAGUACUGCCACACCCAUUUGGACACUUGAGUUUCAAUAUGUGCGCUUUUGUUCUUCUUCUUAUAACAAGAGGCUUCAAAAGAAGAUUGUGAAAUUUUGGAAUAUACCUGAAGCAUGCUCCAAACAAUUAUGGAAUUAAAUUUUUUGUUCAAACCUUUGGAGCACUCAACCAACAACUACUUCAAAAUUUAGCUAGCUAGCCUGCUAGGUGUAGAGGAAUUAAAAUUUUCCAAGCAUGAUUCCAAAUUCCUUUUACUGUUAUAUAUUGUUUAUUUACGUGCAUAUCUCUCUUAUAUAUAGUUCCAAAUUCCUUUUACUCUUAUAUAUUGUUAAAGUAGUUAAUUUGUAUCUUAUAUUAAGGGUUUGUUUUUAAGCCACAUUUGAUUUGAUACAUUGAUUUAGGGAAGAUAAUUAAUCAAAAUCCCCUAUUAUUUCAGUAAAUUAAUAAUUUAUAUCUUCAUAAGUAUUUAACACAUGAGUAUUUUGAUGAGUUGUGACGAGAAUGAAUUAAUUUUGAGAAAAAAUGUUAUUCAUUUCCCCACCGAUUUAUUAGCAAAUAUUUGAAAAGAUAAUGUAUUCAUUUUUCAUGAUUUAUCACAUAUGUACAAAGUAAAAAUAAAAAUAAACCACUUCAAAAUAGAAAACAAUCAAAAUAAAAUUACCAUUUGGCUGAGGAGUAUAUGAUAGUUGUGUUUUUUUUUUUUUUCCCUCACACUAACAACGAUUAAUUAAAUUGUAUUUUAAUGAAUAAGAAACACUAUUUCACCUCACUUUUUCACCCAAUUCUUGCUAUGUAGAAGUUUCAAAGCUAUAAAAUUGACUUAUUGAAACAAGAAUGAUGCAACUCAAGUUUGGCUAUUCCAAGUUUUGUAAGUGUUAUAGCAAUCGUGAUACGACCGACUCGAUCUCACGUACACCAACUGAAGAGCAAUUGAAUGUUGAACAAGAAACAGAAGCAAAAUCAAACAAGAAACAAAAUCAGAUCAAAAGAACACAAAAGAAACGAGGAUAACAUUUGAUACAGAAACAUCGUAAUUUUCUCUCUUUAUCGAAAACAAUAUCACGCUACAAUCUUUCUAUGAAAUCGUACACUUAUCCUCAAAAACCCUGCGAAUCUCAAGUUAUGAGCUAGCAAAUAUGGCCUAACAACCAGCCUUGUAAACCCAGAAAGUCAACGCGAGUCAACAUCCAUAAGGCUUAAAUUUGUUUGCCACGUCAUACCCCCUCUAAUACCCUUUUCCCACCUAAAACACUAAAACCAAAGCCCGAUCAGUGUCGGACUUACAUACCCGGCGGCUUUGUAAAGAUUGCAUCUACACCCCUAAAUAACAGAGAGCUCGAAUCACCCUUAUAUCAGUAAGAAAGUUGAACUCCUUUGCUACUGAUAAUCUCCAUCUCCAUGAAAACCACUGCAAUUACUCAUCUGUGAAGAUAUUUGAUUUCAAUAUCUUAACAGUUCUUGAAUGUUUUCACAGCCCCAUCCCCAUGCCUGUAUCGGCAAACAGAGUGCCAUGUUUUUCAGAAGCGAUGAGGUCAAAACGAUUGUUAAAUUAAGAAACAAUUGUUAAAUCUGUAACUUCUAACACCAGAACUGAGGCAGGUGUUUGUUAAAAUGAAUCAACUAUUCGACCACUGCCUCACUGAAAGUCAUAUUUUGAGUCAACGAUAUCGAGCAAAGCUGUGAAUCUUGGAGGUUUUAAUGAGUAAUUUCACCAUCGCCACAAGUACGAGAUAUUGAAGUCAACCCAUAAUCAAACAGUGUCACUAUUGCUAAAAGUUCGAGAUAUUGGGGGCAAAUAUAUACUUAAAUCGUUAGUUAACAGUAAGAUUGUAAGUAAUGUUCAUUGAAUUUAACCUUUUCAUCAAUAUAAAUUACAAAAUAUGACUACAGAAUACGUAAUUCAAUAAUACAAGGAAAUAAACCAGAGUAAGCUGUAACAUGGCUAACGCGCACAUGCCAUAACAAAAUAAUUAUGAUAUCUCGACAACAAAUAAGUUCAAUAACUUGAAUGUCCCUCAUACUCAAGAAACAACGGGAUGUUAAACAUAAUGGUAAGGCACAACUAAACUCUUAAUAGAAACUCAUAGAGUAACCAAUGGGCCUUUGGUCCAAAGGGAGAACCCUUGCACUUACAAUGUUGAGAGCAAGGGUUCGAACCUCAAUAAAAGUAUUAUAGGGGUUAGUUUUCAGUUCUCCCUCAAUUAUCAAAUAAUUGAGUAAAACCAGUCUAUUCCUCACGAAAUGUAAGUGAAAUGGACACCUCUCGAAUAUUAGGGAGGGAUUAAAGAAUAUGGGCCACGCUUUAGAGGAGGACAUGCCACGACGAAGGUCCCAGUUCUAUAAUCUGUUUAUAAAUAUUAAUUGUAAAUAUUAGGGAGGGUUUAAAGAAUAUGGGCCGCGCUUCAGAGGAGUACAUGCCACGACGAAGGUCCUAGUUCUAUAAUCUGUUUGUAAAUAUUAAUUAUAAUAUAUGAUGUAAUAUCAGUAACAGUCCUGUAUAAUAGUAUUAAAAAAAAAAAAAAACUCAGAGUAAGCUUAUGUGCUUUCUGUUGGCCACAAUAUUCUAUUACAUUACACUCGCAGCUGAUAACAAGUUUCAAUAUAAUCAAGCAAAUUCUUCACAGUUUUUGAAAUUGUUGCUAUUUUUAGAAUUUUUUCUGCUAUCUCAUUGGUCCCUACGUUUGUUUCAAACUCAAUUGGCGAUAUCAUUAUAUACAUUGCGUGGAUUUGCGUGGGUACUAUCAUUGUCAUGUACUAAUAUGGCAAAAUACUCAUGGUCACGGACACUUGUCGUUGGCUGUAUCACGAAAUCUUGAAGCCGUUUUCUUAAGCAUCUUAAAUUGAUUUCAACUUUUAGGCCAAUAAUAACAUCUCUUCAACAGAGCAGCCAAGGGUACCCUUGAAGGCUUGAAUACAUAGUUGAGGAUAGUGAAUCAAAGAAGGGCUGCACGAGACUAGAGCCCAAACCUACUGGCCCAAAGCAGUUAUCAUUCGUGGCACAUAUUACGUGAUAAAGGGUUAUAAAAAAAAACAUUUAAGAAAAAGUGAUAAAGCGUUUAUUUCUUUUAUUUAAUGGGAACCACGUGAAUAUAAAAACACCGUAUACUAGUUUUAAAUUUCUCUCUCUUCUCCCAACUCCAUCUUCCCACACCCAAGAAGCCAAAUCGUUGGAUCAUCUUCAUCAUCAACGGCAACGUGGCGGGAGAUGACGUGUCCAACAUGUUACUCUUCUAAUUUUCCUCAGCUGUGGCUUAAAUGCCUCAUUUUGCUCCUCUUUCACGAACUUUCAAGUUUCUUAAGAAUGUCCUGGCCUGUGUUUUUUCUUCUUCAAUUUCCGCUAUUUUUGUUUUUUUUUGGGAGAAAAUCUUCUGUUAGAGAUAUCUUUAAGCUUGAUUAUUUAGAUGAGUCGUUAGGUUUUUUUUUUUUUAAUUGGGUAACUUACCGAAGUGUGUUUUCCUUCAUCUUCUUCGAUUGGAAGGAUAAUUUUGAUGAUGGAAAGAUGGAGAAGCAAAAAUGGUGAUGAUGAUGACUGUAUAUUGAUCUUUGAGAAAGUUAGUUUUGGGGAAAAAAAAAAGGAAAAUGAUUUUUAUUGAAACUAAUAAUUAGAGUUCAAUUAUGCCGAAGAGUGGCAUUAAAUCUUAGGCUUGGAGCAUCAAAUCAGCAUAAUGACUAGGUGCGCUUGAGUACGGAGCCAUAGUUAAGGUCUUUUUUAUAUUACUUUUGGAACAUUUAAAAAUAAUUUUAAAGAGUUCAACGAUAAUUUUGGUGUUCGGUCAAUUUUUUAAAAAAUAAAUUUUGGUAAAAGCAACCUAUCCUUCAUCCAUAAUUAAAUAUUUUCAAACCAAUUAUUCUUCAAUUAAAAUAAUAAAAUGUCUUUAUGAAAUGAUACGGCAUGGAAUUUAUCAGCCGUAAAAUUUAUGCUAUUUAACGUAAGGAGUAUUAAAAAUUUAUUGAGUUUCAAAUAAAACUUUUAGAUAAUUUUUUGUACAAUUUAAUCAUUUUAUGUUAGGUAAAAUAGUUAAAUUGAAAUUUAGUUAAGUAUAAAAAAUUAAUUAGAUAAAUUUUUAAUCAAUGUGAAUUUUCUAUAUUUAUUUUUCAAAAUGAGGGUGGCUUUACACUAAUUGCCAGACAGAAAUAUUCUCAUCCUUUUACAAUAUAUUGUGACUAUCUUAUCUAGUCGCACAUUAGUUAUUUCUACAAUUAAAGGUAGAAUAAUUACAGUGCUACAUACAAUUGCACAAAUAGUGUUCUAUAAAUUGAUAUAGCAAGAAAUAAUUGAUUGUCCCUAUGGGUGCUUGACUUAAUAAUUUUAAAAUAGUUUUAUUUAGCUGUUCAUUCAAAGUUGAAUUUUGGGGGGGGGGGUAUGGAAUUAAAAAUAAAAAAACUUAAUUGACUCUUUAAAAUGAUAAAAAAAAUUAGGCGGUCCUACCAUAUUUUUAACUCAACCAAUGAUCAUAUGCCACCUUAGUUUGGAAUAUAUAAUUUGUGCAAAAGUGUUUGUGACUAUAGUAAACUCAUAGUAACUCUCUCUGGAGGAUGAAGUCGUUUACUCAUUCAUCAUAAAAUAUAAUCAUGUGGAGGACAAAUAAUAAUUUGGCACUUUUCAGCGACAAAAUUGCAAUUAGUCAUCCAAGUUUAUUUUUUGUAACUAAAUAUAUAAUUACAGAGAAAAGUGUUUUAUCUAGUGUAAUUGAGAAUAUGAUAGGAGCUGUUGACAUUUUGCAGGUAUGGAUCUACUUUCUUCUGUAAAAUAUGUACUUGCAAAAAUUUUGAAAAAAAAAAAAAAGGUUUAGCUACAACGUCGAUCGAAAGUGUCUGGAUGCAACAUGAUAUAAGGUCACUUGUUAUUUUGUUUCAAAUUACAAACUUUAUGUUAUGGCACCAAAGGGUAAAAGCUCAUUUAGUCCCUGUAUUUUAAGAUUAGUGUUCAUUUAGUCCCUGUAUUUUUAAAAAUACCUCGAAACAUCCCUGCCGUUAAAGUACUGAUACUCCUACUGUUACUUUUUAUUUCUUUUGGCUUACUUUUACAAUAUUACCCUUUAUAAUAAUUUUUUUGUUUGGACAUUAAUAAAAAGAAAAUAAUUAAAUUAUCAAUUUAACCCUAAAAAAUAAAAAAAUUAUAUUAAUUUUUAAUUGUCAAAAAUUGUAUGCAAACUACAAAGUGUGCAAAUGGGCUUGCAAAAAAAUUAAUAUAUAUAUAUUUUUUAUUUUUUAGGGUUAAAUUGGUAAUUUAAUUAUUUUCUUUUUAUUAAUGUUCAAACAAAAAAAUUAUUAUAAAAGGGUAGUAUUGUAAAAGUAAACCAAAAGAAAUAAAAAGUCACGGUAAGGGUAUCAAUACUUUAACGGCAGGGAUGUUUCGAGGCAUUUUUAAAAAUACAGGGACUAAAUGGACACUAAUCUUAAAAUAUAGGGACUAAAUAAGCUUUUACCCGGCACCAAAUUAUCCAAAUUAAGGCCUAAGGCAAAGCUACAAAAAUAGCAAAAACUUGGGUUCAGCUUAGGCAUGCUUUUUUAUUUGAGACUUUAAGACCGAAUUUUAUGUUUUACAAUUUUUUUUUAAAUUUUUUUUUAUGAUUUACAAUUUAUUGUGUAUAAAUUUUUUAAAAUUGCAUUGUGUUUGAAAAGAUGCGCAAAGGAUUUAAUUUUUUGAAAUCAUUUAAAAUUUUAAAUAUGUGUAGUUAGCGGGCUAAUUAAUUUCAUAGAUGUAUUUUAAUUAAAAAUAAUACAUAUGUUGUUCAUUUUGACUCCUAAAAAUAUAUAUUAUACAUAUACUAUUGGGAGAUUGUCAAUAUCUCCCUACUGAAUUUAAUAUAUAUUAUUGUUUUUGUUGUAUUCAUAAUAACCAAUUACCACCUUGUCAGUAUAAUUUUAUAAUAUUACUCAUACCUUUAAAUGCACUUUAUUUAUAUUUAUUUUACUUAAAUAAAUCAUAUAAAUAGAAAUUAAAAUAAAAAAAUUGGAGUACUAAAAAAUAAGACAUAUAUAUUUUUUCUAGUACUUUUUGUUACGUUCCCUUGCAAUAUGACAAAUCCGAAAAUCUUGCUCUAGUGGAUAGAUGUACAAUUGAGAUAUAUUGGUCCGGUUUAUUGACUUUUCACAGAUACAUUAUAAUUAUCAUGUCCAACAAUGUAACCCAUAUGAAUGGUAAAAUAGUACAUAUAAUCAUUUUUUAAACAAAUUCCCAUGUGUCAAUUAAUUAGUAUUGAUUAGAUAAAAUGAUACUAAGGACUAUUGCUAAUAUAGCGCGAUCUUCUGCCACGCACAGAGCAAUUAAAAUUUUUCAAGGAUGAUACCAAAUUCUUUUUAAUGUUAUUAUUGUUUAUCCUCGUGUAUACAGUUCUCAUAGUUCUUAGCAGGACUAGAUAAUGAUUCCAAUAAUUAGAAGAAGCACUUAUACCAGUCGAAAAUAUCAAGUUUGUAUUAAAUUAGUUAAUUUGCAUCUUACAUUGAAGAUUUUUAUUUUUUAUUUUUUCAUCCGAUUACCACACUUCAUUUGAUUCAUUGAUUUAGGGAAAAUAAUCAAAAGCUUCAAGCUGUUUCAAUAAAUUAAUAAUUUAUGUGUUCAUGUUUUAAAAUCGAUCAAUUUAUCUCUGUCAUUAAAAAAAUUACAUUAAUUUUAAUUUUAAGUUUUUGCUCUAUUUUUUAUUAUUUUACUUUUGAUUCCGUAAAAUCCACAGUUAGUUAAUAAAAUAAUUAGGGCAUAAUAUUAAAGGACAUGAAAAAAUGAAAGUUAACAAAAAAAAUAUUUAUAAUUAUUUUGAUCCUAGGGAUGGCAAUUAUCUAGCUAGAUAUGGAUAUUUUCUGGAGAAAAAGUUGAUGGUUAGGGAGAGGCAAUUGAAGAUCAAAAUGAAAACAAAGAGUUGGAGAAAGGUUCUGAUGAUAACUGGUUUCAACGGUUGACAGUUCAACUGAGCUUCUAGGAAUGUAACCGAGUUUAAAAUAAAAAAUAUACUCAAAAAGAGGUGAGAAAUUAUUUGGAUCCCAGAUUGGGGAAAAAAAAAGAUAAAAAAUAUGAAAAAAAGAAAAUACAGUGAAAGAGAGAGAGAGAAGGGGUAGAAAAUUCAAUCAAUAAUGAGCAAGCACGUGAUGAUGGCCCCACGAUUGUAAGUCGCUGGUCCCCUUUGUUGCUGCAGUUUUUAUCCUGUUGUGUGGAAAACUCUCUUUCUCUACAUGUGAAUCACAAGCAAAAUUCUUGCGCGCGCGCGCGUAAAAUCAAAUAAUAUUAUAUAACGAAAUAACAAGUACACUCGGUUCUUAAAAUUCACAUCAACACAGAUCAUUAAACACCUGGGAUGAAAUUAAGAUUUUAAUUUGAAAGAGACCAUGUCAAUUAACUAAUAUUGGUUAAAUUGCUAUAAUUAAUCUAAAUUUUUCUAAAGCAGCAAGUUACUAUGUACCAGUCAAAGAGUAAAACGCCGUCUAAUUAAAUUAGUAGAGUUAUUUUAGUCUCAAAGCUAUAAUUUAUCUAAAUGUUUCUGAAACUACAAUUUGCAUAUGUACCAAUAAGGGAGUGACACGCAGUCUAAAUUGCCACCUUAGAAAGGAAACGUACACAAUCUAAAAAGACCAAUAAUAUUGCCCAAGACAUCAUAUAAGAUAAGUCUACUGCAUGGGGCCAGGCCAUACUGAAUCAUUGUAUAAUAUAUGUGCAUAUGCUAUCGAUAGUUAUCCUUAUUGAGAAGGCAUGGCAAUAAAGUAAACAUGGAAGCCAUCUCCGCCACCACAACCAUUCCUCUUCUCAUUCUUUACAAAUGGAGGAUUAUGCAGUCUCUGUCUCUCCCACAAUCAGAGGUUUGUUAAUUUACAUAUAUUUGUGCUUUCUAUCAUUUUUUUUGGUUAGGUAUGCAGCUAAUAUAAGUUCACAUAUAUAUAAUUAAAAGAAAAAAAAAACUCCUUUAAGAUUACACACACACACAUAUAUAUUCUUUCUUAGUGUUUAUAAUGCGACUAUAAGUUAAUUAGGAAGCUUCUUUUUCUUCAAAUUAUUUUGGAACAUCAACCAUAUACCUUUAGUACGAAGGAAUAUUAAAUGACUAAAGUAUGUUUCUUUUUUAAAAUUAUCGAUUUACUUUUGAGUUGACUAGCUGUAUACAUUGACUAAAAAUUGUGGAUAGAAAGUUUUGGCCUAGAUAUUUUUUGAGUUGUGUGAAGUCUGUGGCUUGAAAUUAAAAGGCAUUAUUAGCACUGGAAAGUUAAAAAUAUAUUUUUUUUCAUUUUCUUAUUUCAUGUUUACUAUUUAAGGUGAACUAUUUUUAUUUUUUUUGGGAACUUAAUAUAAUUAUAUUUAUUAAAACUAUUUAUUUUUCAAUUAAUUCAUUUUAUAUUUACUUGGUAAAUUAUUAUUCAAUAGUACCACAAUGAAUCACUAUGUAUAAAUUAUUAUUAUCGAUGGCAUUAAAAGGAAAUUAUAAAGGUAUCUCAAAUUCUCCAUGAACAAAGACAGAACCUUAUUGGGACUGGCCGGCUAUAGCACAAACUCUCUGUAAAAGGCUUGUUACAAACUCAUCCAACUAAAUUUAUCAAAAUGAAACUAAUCUUUAGAAAACAAUACAUCAAUCCUAAGAGCCCCUAGCCGUUAAUUAUUUUGAAUAAAAGGAAUAAUUCUAGAAAAACUUGUUUAGUUGGAGAAGGGGUGUGUUCGGGAAGCAUACAUAUAUAAGGGUUAUUUAAGUGCAAUAAAAAUAAUGUGCAUUUUUAAUUGUUUAAUUAGGCUUAUUUAGAAGAGGGGUUUUAACAGAAAAAUAAAAGAGUGCAAAUAGAAGCCCCAUGGGAUCCAUAUUUUAUCUCGGUAUAUACAUAGUUCAUCAGAAGUGGUUCUACUUACACCCCAAGUUUCAAAAUACUCAUAAAUCCAUCUUUCUUAAAGAGAAUCAUCAUGAUUAAAGGUGUUCUCUCUUAUUUUUGUCAGGGCAAAGGAACUAUAUGGCCAGGUGUGUAUUUAUAUAUAUGUGUAUGUGUGUGUGUGUGUGUGUAUUCCUCCCUAAUUUUCUCCCUUCGCUUGGGAGGUUCUUUUUUGAGUGUGAAAGCUCGUUUCAGCUUCCCUGUUUGAUGAUAUCAUGAUUAGCAUUGAUGGUUUCAGACUUUUGAGUUUGGAUUGAGUUUGAUUAAAUGCUCAAUAUUCUUCAUUUACACAAUGAUAGGCUUCCUUCCCUUUUGGUCUUUGAUCAAUUAAUGGAAAAACUGCUUAUUGAUCAAAAGAGAAGAUAGAAGUGUAUUUUACUCAUAUCUUUAGCGAAGGGAACAAUGUUAUUCCGAAAUUUGUUAAUAUGGUGGUCUGGUCCUCUAUCAGAAACGCUUGUCAUUCUAUCUUAAUGAUAUUGAAGAUCUUCCUAAUUAUAUAUUUAAAAAGCUUGAUGAAUGUAUUUGCAUUUUUUGCAUGAAUGCGUUACUCUAGAUUUUGUUUUGAUUUGUUUUUGUUAUUAUGUUAUUCAUCAAGAGAAGAAGGAGGUGUAUUUUACUCAUACCUUUAGAGAAGGGAACAAUGUUAUUAAGAAUUUUGUUAAUAUGGUGGUCUGAGCCUCCAUCAGAGACUCUUGUCAUUCUAUCUUAAUGAUAUUGAAGGUCUUCCUAAUUAUAUAUUUAAAUAGCUUGAUGAAUGUAUUUGCAUUUUUGCAUGAAUGCAUUACACUAGAUUUUGUUUUGUUUUGUUUUUGUUAUUAUGUUAUCUAUCGUUCCAUUUGCGUAAGGCUCAUCAUCUCUGAUAGGUAUCGCUUCUUUCUUUCAUUUCAAUAAGGUUUCUCUCACACCGUUGAGAUUUCCUAAAAGAAAGUCAGCCAUCAAUUAUUUCAUAGCCACAAGCUGUCAUAUACUACUCUCCCACAUUACCAAUAUAAUGGUGAUUUUAAUCGCCAAGCAACCGGAUUGUAGACAGCGACAAAGUUCUUCCCCCCCCCCCCCCGACAAGAAGCUCGGAACCAAUUCCAAAUGUAGGCUGAUAAUGGCUUCAAGGUAUCGUGGUAAAGCUGAAGACAAGAAGCUCGGAACCAAUUCCAAAUGUAGGCUGAUAAUGGCUUCAAGGUAUCGUGGUAAAGCUGAAGACAAGAAGCUCGGAACCAAUUCCAAAUGUAGGCUGAUAAUGGCUUCAAGGUAUCGUGGUAAAGCUGAAGACAAGAAGCUCGGAACCAAUUCCAAAUGUAGGCUGAUAAUGGCUUCAAGGUAUCGUGGUAAAGCUGAAGACAAGAAGCUCGGAACCAAUUCCAAAUGUAGGCUGAUAAUGGCUUCAAGGUAUCGUGGUAAAGCUGAAGACAAGAAGCUCGAAACCAAUUCCAAAUGUAGGCUGACAAUGGCUUCAAGGUAUCUUGGUAAAGCUGAAGACAAGAAGCUUGAAACCAAUUCCACAUGUAGGCGGAAAGCUGAAGACAAGAAGCUCGAAACCAAUUCCACAUGUAGGCGGAAAAUGGCUUCAAGGUUUCAUGGUAAAGCUGAAGACAAGAAGCUCGAAACCAAUCCCACAGGUAGGCGGAAAAUGGCUUCAAGGUAGCGUGGUAAAGCUGAAGACAAGAAGCUCGAAACCAAUUCCAAAUGUUGGUGAAAAUUGGCUUCAAGGUGUCGUGGUAAAGCUGAAGGGAAGCACCGAUAAACAAUCUGCCAUACUGAUGAUACACAACAAUAACAACGGCACAAGGCCAUGAGAUGUAUAAAAUGAUAUGACCACUGGAGCCUUGAAGAAAAGUGGAGACCAGCGAGAUGGCAGAAAGAGAUCCAGAGGUAAUAGCAAUAAUGCCAGAGCGUUUGGUGGAAUUUUCUUGUUGAGCUAGAGACUUGAUAUCAGUUGCGAAGGCGAAGCAGUAUAUUGCUUGGGACACAAGAAAACUCCACAUAUUUAGUGUAUGUGUUUUGAAUAUGGGCUCUGUUGUGCCUUGAUCAUUGGCUCCCAGGAUACCAAUGAGGACUGGAAUCAGGUAUGCAAAAAUGAACUGGUACGGCAUCGAUGAAACGAAACGUCCCUCGCUGCAAAACCAGAAAGAGGUCGAAAUAAAUCAUGCCAUUUGUAUAAUUGAAGUGAUUGCAAAUCAUUAUUUAUAAACUUACAAACGCAAUAGCUGAAACCGUAGAGCUACAAAUUGGUUUGAAGAAUAUUUAUGUCUUCAUAAGGACAAUCGGUUUUAGUGGACCGGGGACCCGAUAUUUCGGUUUCAGGUGUAAUGGGUCAACCGGUGCUGACUAGAUGUCAAACCAAUUACCCGAUAUUUCGUUUUUGGAGCCCACCAAAAUGCUUGACCAGCCUUUCUUGAACCAGGACCAGAAGUGGGCUGAGUUCCUUGGAUAAACCGAUAUUUCAGUUUCAGUAUCGGAUCACGAAACGCGGACAGCUUAAGCGUUGGGAAAGCUAGUUUUGAAGUGAAGGCCGUGGAUAAUCAACUGACAAUGUCUCGAUUAGCAGAGGACUUUUUAAUUUUAAACAUAAAAUAAUAAAUUCAGGCUAUUGAUUUUAAGGAGCCCGGCGCAGCUAUUGGCAUAACAACCGGUACACCAUUGGUUGGCCCAACCCGGUCCUCUCGUACUAGGUUUGGCUUCUCGCAGUUCUCCCUUUAACAAAAACGGUAGAUAGGAACUGAACCCUUGGGACAUUCGUCAACCCCAGGAUGUGAUGAGUCGACAUCGAGGUGACAAAGGACUCCGUCGAUAAGAGCUCUUGGGAGUCAUCAGCCUAUUAUCCCCGGCGUACCUUUGAUCCGUUGAGCGAGAACCCUUCCACACGGGACUCCCGGAUCACUAAAAGAGUGGUUGGUACUCUGCAUCUUACGGGGUCUUACCGUCUAGGCGUGGGCACUCCGCAUCUUCACGGAGAAUUAAAUUUCACCGGGUCCAUGUCGGAGACAGCGGGGCAGUCGUUACACCAUUCGUGCAGGCCGCUACUUAUGCGACAAGGAAUUUCGAUACCUUAGGACAGUUAGAGUUACUGCCGCCGUUUACGGGGGCUUCCAUUCAAACAAGCUAUUUCUUUGCAUGAGGAAAUUAAUGACGGGUCAAGAAUUUAAAAUAAAAAUCUUUAAAGACUUAAAACUAUACCUUAAAGGUGAAGAAGGCGGUCGGUUUUGGUGUUGAAGAUUACUCUGCAUUCUUCUCGGGAUGUGAUGAUGUUGAGCUAGCUGCUGCUGAUGGAGCAAAGAAAAGUGGGACGUGGGUGCAAAGACGAUGAGGAGGGAGCAAUGGGAGAAAGGGUUCUACAUUUAAUGAGUAGCCAAAAUUUUUUUUGAGGUCCAAUACAUUUUGAAAAAUAACUUAUCAGUCUUAAUAAAAUAUCAUAUUCGUCCUUAACACAAUUCUUCAUAAUUUUCAUAAAAAUUAAUAACGAUAUUUUUAGUGCUUCGCUCAUAUAUUUAACCAAAAAAAAUUAUAAUAAUCUCAAUAAAAAAUGUUUAUUGAAAUUUGUUUUUGUUUAAGCGUGGAUUUAAAUUUGUCCUCCUUUUUUACUUACACACACUCAAAACGUUUACUUUUACUUAUUAGUAAUGGCUUAAUGCACAUUCUGUAGAUGUAUGUUUCAAUUAUAAUAAAUUUGGUGAAUAAAAAAUUUACUUGAAUAGCAUAAAAAAUGUGAAACUUGAUUUUUUUUUUUUUUUGGGGAAUGAAACUUAAGUAAUCUUGAAAUUUGAAUCCUACAAGCAAACUUGAAAAACUUGAAAGACAUAAGAGCUUUAAUAGGAAAAAGAACUUGAAAACUUUAGGUUAGUAUUUAUUUUUUAUAAUUUUACUGACAUUUUACUUUCAAUUGAUUGACAAUUACAUGAGCAUUCAGGAGUUGGAGGGAGUAUUAUGGAAAAGUUAUGGACCUAAAGGGUACAUCCAAGGAAAAUAAAAGAUCUAGUGGUCAUUUCCCAAAGAAAGAAAUGAAAUAGACAAGAACUUUCUCAAUCAACAUUCGCGUUUACAUGUAGAGCUCGCAAGAAAAAAAUAAAAGAAUUUCUGGUGAUAAUAAAAUGUUUGCAGAUUGUGUGUGUCCCACAUUUGAAAAUGACAAUUUUUUUUAUAUAAUAAAUGUUAAGUAAAUAAAGGCACCAGGUCGGCCAUGCUACCAUUUUCACCCCGGCAUGAACCACCUCAGCCAAAUGAUACGAGCAGAACACGGAGACGAACAUGGUCCGACCAGAGACGAGUGCCAACCAGAGUUAUAGGCCGAGCUGAUAAUCAUUCCCCCCAAAAAGCGGAAACACGAUCUCACAGAAUCACGGCAGUUGCACUUUCCCAGAACUGUUGCGAGAAACGCGAGAUCCCACGUUUGCCCAUAGUGCAGCAGUUAGAGCCUCAUGAGGGGCUCCCACUACCCGAAAAAGUGGGGAUGAAGGGCAAGCGGGAACGUGGGGGCAGCGGCUAUAAAAGAAGAAGAAAUCAACGAAGGAAGGGGAUAGAAAAAAAUUGAGAGAGGGAAAACGCUGCCAAAUUUCAACCAGGCCAUUUUCUUACAAAUCUCGAACAAACUUCUUGAAUCCAAAUUACAUUGUUUUCCCGUGAACACCUUGUGCUAACUUAAGCAUCGGAGGGUUUACGCCGGCAAAACCACCGGCGUCUCUGAUCUGUUAUUGUUGAACGCAGGUCUAGUGAGAGAGGGAAGGGCGAUUCCAACCCCAGUGGUUAGUGACAGUUGAUAACACAAACGUUGGUGAUAGAAUCUGGUCGGUCCAAGGGCGAGCAGAUUCCAGCAUCAAGGGCGAGCAGAUUCCAGCAUCAACAAUAAAAAUGACAAUUUUGAUCCCGCAAAUGACAACUUGUUUCGUGGCCCCGCGAAAUCCACAAAAGCAAUAAAACUAAAAUAUAAAAUUAAAAAAAAUCAUGACCCACCACUCUGUCACCAUCUUAUGGAGAAAAAGUUUUUAAUUUCUUUCUUUGCACUUUCUGUUAUAAAUGCUUUUUCUUUUUCGCAAAUUUUAAGAUUUUCAUAUACGCGGAAAUGAUGCUGAGGUCUUUAAUAUAUAUAUUUUUUAUUAUUGCGUACUUCUUUGAUUAUAUUUUAAUUAUUCAUGACAUCUUCGAUGCUAAUUAAAAGAGCAAUAUAUAGUUAUUGGGUUUCAGCUAGUCAAUAUUUCUCAAUGUCUGCAUUUGAUGUUAAUUUUUCUCAAGUUCCUGAGCAUCUUUGAUGAUAAUAUAAUUGAAACAAUAAGAGUUGGAAUCAUCUAAGUUUUUUCUUUUUUAAUGAAACUCGACAAAAAAGGGAAGUAUUAUUAAAAAAAAACACACAGAAUUAAUCAAAAGGGAAAUAAUAUAUAAGCCUUACCUCCCUUAAAGGUAAAUUAAGUACAAAAAAAUUCAUAUUAAUUUUUUAUUUUCCUACUUUGUCUGGUAUUUGAAUUUAAGUAUUAGGGUAAAAUCUAAAUUUGUUUUGAUUAGAAGAUAUUUGAAAAAAAAAAAUUGUUGGGACAUCUAAAUAGAUAUAAACCAAUUCCCCAAACUUUGUUAUAUGAAUAUAGGGUUAUUAUCAUUUCACUACUUCAAAAAUUAUCAAAUAUCAAAUAACUACAACAAGUAUUGUCUCGUAUCAUUUUCCUACUAUAUCUUUAUAAAAAUAUCAUUUUACUACUUUUCCGUUAUAUCCCGUUUGUUGACCAGUUAGUUGACUAACAAAAUACCAAUUUCACCUUCAUGAUUAAAAAAAAAUACUUGGAAGCUUAUUUACAAAAUAAUUUUGUAAAAUAUUUAUUAAAAUGGAUAUAAAAUACCAACAUAAUUUUUUUUGUUGGAAUUAUGAUAUAUGGAUUACAAAUUUAUCUUAUUAAUUUUUUUUAAUCAUAAAGGGUAAAAAUCUCCGUUAUCAAUCGAGAUCAUGGGUACCAUAAUCCCAAGAGAUUUCCGAUUCCCCGACCUCAAAUACUCUGGGCGAAGUGACCCACUGGUGCACAUUGAGCGUUUCAACGAUAUGACGGGUGUGCAGGGGCUGACAUCAGCUCAGAGGUGCAGGGCGUUCCCGUUGACACUAGAGGGACGAGCUCGAGAAUGGUACCGCAAGCUGCCCCGAGGAAGUAUAAAGGGGUACGAGCAGAUGUGCCAGGAGUUGGUCGAGCAGUUCCGAGGGGCAGUAGCCCCAGAGGACGACAUGAUGGAACUAAUAGGGAUGAAACAGGAGGAGCACGAGUCCCUACGGGAUUUUGUAAAGCGAUACCACCGAGCCGUACUUGAUUUGGGAGCUUUCAAUCACCCGCAGGCGUUGAGAGGUUUAAAGGAGGGUAUGAGGAUAGGCCGGCUGUGGUAUAACCUGAGAAGCCCCCUGGUGCAGAAUUAUUCAGCAGGAUAUGAGCAGGCAAAGAGAGAUAUCGAAAUCGAAGAAGAAAAAUCGGCAAAGAUAAAGAAUGAACAGCUGGAGGAGCUGAGACGAAAGGAAAGGAGAACUCCAAAUGGGAGCGGGUCGGCAAAGCGAGCUGGGGAACCCUCAGUAAGGGGCGGAACAUCAGCUCGAUCCCGCCCAUACCCCAUAGCUCCGAGAUCACAACAGUUCCAGCACAAUCGGGCUCAACCUCCACAUCCCCCAAUCCUGGAUCGGCAGCGAGAAUUCCAGCAGAUGGCUGCCGACCCCUAUCAUAACACUCCCAGAACAUCAGAUGCAACAAAUUCCAGGGCUAGACGACCAGAUCAGUUAGCGACUAUGCAAGCCCGAGGUGACGUUCAUGAUAGCCGAGCAGUUCAGCUGGUAGACCAGAGCUUGACAUAUAGACAAUACAUUCCACUAAAGAUCUCCAUGGAGGAAUUAUAUGAGAGGAUCGAGGGACGAGGCCUGCUGUACCCUCCAGCCCCAAUAACAAAACCGACUCACCGACGGGAUAAGAGCAGAUUCUGCAAGUUCCACGACACUCACAGUCACACUAUCAGCCAAUGUCGUGAUCUGAAGAUUCAGGUGGAGGAUUUAGUGAGGAACCGGUACUUGGACGAGUCCCUCCGUCCGCAGACCAACCUAAUGGGGUGUAUCCCCACAGGAGUACUGGUCGGGUCCCAGGAGAACACGGGGAUGAAGAGAGAGACCAAACUCGCCCCGGACGGGUACUGGAAACUACUGGCCGAGGUGCCAGUGUUGAUGAAGGAGAGCUCAGACAGCGGUUGCAGAACGCCGAGCAGGAGCGAGACCAGAUAGCUGCGCGUGAUCCUAACCGUGCUAUAGAAUUGGAGGGGGAGGUGCGCAGGUUGGCGCAGGUGAUAGAGGAGAUACAGGGCAAGAGAAAGCCCCCGAGCUGGAGGAUAAUGUUAGAUGAAGAAUCUCCGUUAUCAACCUGUUGAGAAGCUGGAGGAAGUUGUUGUAAGCAGGAGUGACCCUAGCAGAGUUGUUAAGGUCGGAUCAGAAUUGGGCGAAGCAAUAAAGGCCGAGCUGGUGAAGUGUCUACAGUCCCAUGCAGACAUAUUUGCCUGGUCUCAUGAGGAUAUGCCAGGUAUUGACCGCGGGAUAGCUUGUCACAAGCUGGCGGUCAAGAGAGGGGCAAAGCCGGUGAGACAGAAAAGGAGAUGCUUCAACCAGGAAAGGUACGAGGCCAUAAACGCCGAGGUGGAGAAGUUGUUGAAAGCAGGAUUUAUAAGGGAAGCCAAGUACCCAGAAUGGAUCUCAAAUGUAGUCCUGGUAAAAAAGGCCAACGGGAAGUGGAGAAUGUGUGUGGACUUCACGGAUGUCAAUAAGGCAUGCCCAAAGGACAGUUUUCCCCUACCCAAAAUAGAUCAGCUGGUGGACUCAACAGCAGGCCACAGUCUGCUCAGUUUCAUGGAUGCCUUUUCUGGAUACAACCAGAUACCCAUGGACGAGCAGGAUGAGGAAAGCACUGCCUUUAUAACUAACAUGGGUUUAUUUUGCUACAGGGUAAUGCCUUUCGGCCUAAAAAAUGCAGGAGCCACCUAUCAAAGGUUGGUAAACAAAAUCUUCAAACCAUUGAUUGGAUACACUAUGGAGGUAUAUGUGGAUGAUAUGAUCACAAAGUCCAAAGAGCCGACGGAUCAUGUGAAGCAUCUAGAAGAAACCUUUGAAUUACUGAGGAAGUAUGAGAUGAAACUAAACCCGGAGAAAUGUGCAUUUGGGGUCAGCUCGGGCAAAUUUUUGGAAUUCCUGGUAAGCCACCGAGGGAUUGAGGCCAACCCCGAAAAAAUAAGAGCGGUUACAGAUAUGAGAUCUUCGCGGACAAUUAAAGAGGUGCAGAGCCUUACAGGGAAGUUGGUAGCAUUGAACCGAUUCAUCUCGCGGGCCACAGAUAAAUGCCACCCUUUCUUCCAAACCAUAAAGAAAGGGAAAAAGAUGGAGUGGACAUCGGAAUGUGAGGAAGCAUUUGGGCAGCUGAAGGAAUACCUAACCCGGGCCCUAUUGUUAUCGACUCCGAGAGAGGGUGACCAGCUGUUGCUGUACUUAGCAAUCUCUAAAUGGGCUACCAGCUCGGUAUUGGUCAGGGAAGAGGAAGGAAAGCAACAUCCAGUAUAUUACACGAGCAAGGCCUUGGUAGAGGCGGAAACCAGAUACCCAUUGAUGGAGAAGUGGGCGCUAGCUCUAAUAACGGCAGCACGAAAACUCCGACCAUAUUUUCAGGCCCAUCAGGUUAUAGGAUUUCAAAUUUAAAGCUGGAGCGGACAAAUACUUCCUUGAAAGGAUUUGGAGGGGGACGGUUAACUCCCUUGGGGGUCAUUGAACUCCCGAUUACUGUGGGGACAAAGCCGUUUGAACGAACGAUGAUGCUGGACUUCGUCGUGGUAGAGGAAAGAAGCCCUUACCAGAUGAUAUUGGGGAGACCGUUCAUGAGGAUAAGCCAAAAUAAGCCAAUGCGUUGUGUCCACACAUUACUUGGCGCUGAAAUACAGAAUAAAUGGGGUGGUUGGCGUAGUAAAAGGCGACCAGAGGAUGGCAAGGAGUUGUUAUGCUACGGCGGCCAAGGAAACGCUGCAGGUUACCUUUCUGGAUAACCGAGGGGAUUCAAAAAAUGGUCGUCAGGAACCUGUUGAGAAGCUGGAGGAAGUUGUUGUAAGCAGGAGUGACCCUAGCAGAGUUGUUAAGGUCGGAUCAGAAUUGGGCGAAGCAAUAAAAGGUGAGCUGGUGAAGUGUCUACAGUCCCAUGCAGACAUAUUUGCCUGGUCUCAUGAGGAUAUGCCAGGUAUUGACCGCGGGAUAGCUUGUCACAAGCUGGCGGUCAAGAGAGGGGCAAAGCCGGUGAGACAGAAAAGGAGAUGCUUCAACCAGGAAAGGUACGAGGCCAUAAACGCCGAGGUGGAGAAGUUGUUGAAAGCAGGAUUUAUAAGGGAAGCCAAGUACCCAGAAUGGAUCUCAAAUGUAGUCCUGGUAAAAAAGGCCAACGGGAAGUGGAGAAUGUGUGUGGACUUCACGGAUGUCAAUAAGGCAUGCCCAAAGGACAGUUUUCCCCUACCCAAAAUAGAUCAGCUGGUGGACUCAACAGCAGGCCACAGUCUGCUCAGUUUCAUGGAUGCCUUUUCUGGAUACAACCAGAUACCCAUGGACGAGCAGGAUGAGGAAAGCACUGCCUUUAUAACUAACAUGGGUUUGUUUUGCUACAGGGUAAUGCCUUUCGGCCUAAAAAAUGCAGGAGCCACCUAUCAAAGGUUGGUAAACAAAAUCUUCAAACCAUUGAUUGGAUACACUAUGGAGGUAUAUGUGGAUGAUAUGAUCACAAAGUCCAAAGAGCCGACGGAUCAUGUGAAGCAUCUAGAAGAAACCUUUGAAUUACUGAGGAAGUAUGAGAUGAAACUAAACCCGGAGAAAUGUGCAUUUGGGGUCAGCUCGGGCAAAUUUUUGGAAUUCCUGGUAAGCCACCGAGGGAUUGAGGCCAACCCCGAAAAAAUAAGAGCGGUUACAGAUAUGAGAUCUUCGCGGACAAUUAAAGAGGUGCAGAGCCUUACAGGGAAGUUGGUAGCAUUGAACCGAUUCAUCUCGCGGGCCACAGAUAAAUGCCACCCUUUCUUCCAAACCAUAAAGAAAUGGAGAAAGAUGGAAUGGACAUCAGAGUGCGAGGAAGCAUUUGGGCAGCUGAAGGAAUAUCUGGCCCGUGCACCGUUCAACAAGAACGUACGCGUGAGGCAGUUCCGAGCAGGAGAUUGGGUACUUAGGAAGGUGAACCAGAACACCAGGGAUCCUAACCAUGGCGCUCUUGGCCCAAAGUGGGAGGGCCCGUACUGGGUGAUACGAGCCACUGGACCAGGAGCCUAUAAAUUAGCACUUAGUAAAAUGGUCCGUGGAGCUAAGUGAAUUCGACCUCUCCUACAGGCCCCGAGGAGCAAUCAAGGCCCAAGCUUUGGCUGAAUUUAUGGUUGAACGAGCCGAUACAGGGAAAGAAAUUCGGGAGGAGCAAGCAGCAGAGCAGGAGAAACCAGAGGGGUUGUGGUUGGUAAUGGUUGACGGAUCAUGUAGUGAGCAAGGAGUCGGAGCAGGAGUUGUAAUACGGAGCCCAGAAGGAACCGAAAUAACGUAUGCAGUGAAGUUUGACUUUCAGCUCACAAACAACCAAGCUGAAUAUGAGGCCUUUAUCACCGGGCUCGGACUUGCACACGCUCUAAGAGCAGAAAAGGUAGAAAUUCGAGCAGAUUCCCAACUGGUGUGUAAUCAGCUCAAUGAUCAGUUCCAAGCAAGGGGAGAGAAGAUGGGUCUUUAUUUAAAGAAGGCGAAGCAGAUGGUUGGGCUUUUCCAAACAGUGGAGGUAAAGCAGAUAUCCCGGAAUGAGAAUUUUCGAGCAGAUAUGCUGGCUAGGAUGGCAGCCACUGCAGAUCCAAAAUUACCGAAGUCAGUUCCACUAGAGGUAAGGACCUCACCAAGUAUUGAGGAAGAAGCAGAGGUGAUGAGAGUAAGUAUUGGAGAAUCCUGGAUGGACCCGAUUCGCGCAUAUGUCCGCGAUGGAGUUUUACCAGAGGACAAAAGGCAAGCAAGAAAAUUAAAAUGCCGAGCAGCAAGGUAUACGCUACUGGAUGGAGUGCUGUACCGCCGAGGGUUCACCUUGCCCCUUUUGAGAUGUUUGGAUGAUGAGGAGGCGGAUUAUGUGCUGAGAGAGAUUCAUGAGGGAAUAUGCGGCAAUCACUCGGGAGCAAGAACUUUGGCCUUCAAGGCACUCCGGCAAGGAUACUUCUGGCCAACCAUGCACCAGGAUGCCAAAAGGAUGGCAAAAAAUUGUAAAACAUGCCAAAGCUUCUCCGAGGUUCCUGCACAACCCCCGGAAAAGCUGACGGCGAUGACAUCCCCAUGGCCUUUCGCCCAAUGGGGAAUCGAUUUGAUUCAACAAGAACGUACGCGUGAGGCAGUUCCGAGCAGGAGAUUGGGUACUUAGGAAGGUGAACCAGAACACCAGGGAUCCUAACCAUGGCGCUCUUGGCCCAAAGUGGGAGGGCCCGUACUGGGUGAUACGAGCCACUGGACCAGGAGCCUAUAAAUUAGCACACCAAGAUGGACGAGAAGUGAAGAGGUCAUGGAACGCCGAACACCUGAAGAAGUAUUUCCAGUAAGCAAAGUGCUCUACUAAAUCCCCAUUUUGACAAGAUAUCUAUGUUAACUGCAUCAUGGCUUUGCUGCACAUGUAUGUAUUCAGUAUUCUUGUAAUGCAUUCAAAUUUCAAAUAAAGAUGAAUUCAGCAUGAAAUCCCCCUGCUAGUCUAAUCAAUAAAAGUUUUACCUAAGGCAAGUAAGUGCCUGUUUCUGCUCGGUCAAUGAAAGACCAGCAGCUAAAGAUUCGAAAAUUCUACUAAGGCAACAAAAUGUCUGUUUCUGCUCGGUCAACGAAAGACCAGCAGCUAAAGCUUCGAAAAUUCUACUAAGGCAACAAAGUGCCUGUUUCUGCUCGGUCAACGAAAGACCAGCAGCUAAAGCUUCGAAAAUUCUACUAAGGCAACAAAGUGCCUGUUUCUGCUCGGUCAACGAAAGACCAGCAGCUAAAGCUUCGAAAAUUUUACUAAGGCAAACCUGUUUCUGCUCGGUCAACGANNNNNNNNNNNNNNNNNNNNNNNNNNNNNNNNNNNNNNNNNNNNNNNNNNNNNNNNNNNNNNNNNNNNNNNNNNNNNNNNNNNNNNNNNNNNNNNNNNNNNNNNNNNNNNNNNNNNNNNNNNNNNNNNNNNNNNNNNNNNNNNNNNNNNNNNNNCUACUAAGGCAACAAAGUGCUUCGAAAAUUCUACUAAGGCAAAGACCAGCAGCUAAAGCUUCGAAAAUCCUACUAAGGCAACAAAGCGCCUGUUUCUGCUCGGUCAACGAAAGACCGGCAGCUAAAGCUUCGAAAAUUCUACUAAGGCAACAAAGUGCCUAUAUCUGCUCGGCUAACGAAAGACCAGCAGCUAAUCCUAUGAGAAGUUUACUAAGGCAAGUAAAAUGCCUACUCCUGCUCAGUCCACUAAGGAACCAGCAGGCGAAAUCAAAUAAGUUGUCAAAUUAUUUUUUAGAAACAAUCUAUGAGCAAAAACCGGACAAGAAAGCAAAUAAAGAGCAUCUAAAAAUUUAUAAAUGUUCAAUUGUUUACAAAACAAAUGCAAAUCUAGAGUUUAUACAAAAAUAGGCUCAAGGCUUAGCAGAGUCAACGGCUCCGCCAGCUGAAGGAUCAGCAACAUCAAGAGGUAGGAGAUUAGCAAUGCCGGGUGGAGGAGGCAUGGACCCUUGACCCACUUCAAAAGUGCGUCCCCCAGCUUCCCCCUCUUGCACCCCAUCCAAAGGAGCCUCCACCUGAUCCUGCUCACCCUGCUCCUUAUCUCCCUGGCCGGCCCCAGCCAUAUAUCUCUCCACCCCAGCCUCCAGCUUGCUCAUGUCGAGCUCGGGGUAUUCUUCCGUGAGCACAGACAUGAUGCACUUAUAGCUGAAAGCAACCCCGGAGUCAUACUUGGCAUCCAGCCGAUCAUCCACAUCAGCGGAUUUGCCUUUCUCUUCAGCCAGUUGGUCACUCAGGGAUUUGAUCUCUCCCUCAAGGGCGGUCCUCAGAGUAUCUCUCUCACUUUGAGUAGCCUGAAGAUCGGACUUCAGAUCACCCAACUCGCCCUCAAGCUUGGAGGAAGUGGACUCAGCAACCGCAACUUUCUCCUCCAGCUCCGUAAUCUGCUUGUUUAGCUCGGCUAGUUUCUCCUUGGAGCGGUCAGCAGAUUCAGCUUUCUUUUUCAACUCCUGAUUGUCAGCUUGAAGCUUCUUCUCAUGACGCGCGGACCCGGUCUUGUAGCACGAGACCAUUGUGGCCAGCCUGAAGGAGACUCUCUGAACAGAAGCAGCUAACUCAGAGAGGCUCAUGCUCUCGAUGUCCUUCACCAUCUUGGGCCCAACCGAUUUUUUAUAGUCCUUCUGAUAUGGGCUCAGGUAAUCACCUUGAUCCCGAGAUGGGAGAGGAGAAGAUCGGUCCCCAGACUGCAAGCUGACCUCAGGACUCUUGUCGGAGGUUUUCUCCCCACCACUCUUACGAGGUGAAGGAGGGGGCAGAGCAGGAACAGGCGCCUUGAAAGGGACGCUGGGUUUCUUUGGAGGAGGAGGAGGAGGGUUGCUGGAGCUACUCGGAGCCCGACCACGCUUCCUGCUCAUCGCGCUGAGGAUCUUGUUAUCCAUUCCAACGGCAAUAUCUACUAAGCCAGAACCGACCAAGUUUGUUGGCGACAGGAGGUCUUGGCAAGUAGACGCGUUCAAUAGAGCAGUUUCCACCUGAAGCAAAGGUCGGUUUUCAAGGUCCUUCACCAAACCCCACGAUUCUGAAAAAACAAACAAGGUUAAAGAACCCAAUGAGUGGCAAUUUGAGAAAGAAUAUAGGUAAAAAAUGAACGACCUGGGAUGUCCCCACCAAGCGACAGGUAAAGAUCACCACCCAACGAACGGAGUGCUGAACACCACUUUCCCCCAGCAAAGAAGAAUUUGUUCUUCCAAUUUUUACAUGAGGAUGGAAACCCAGUGAUCGGUUUCCUCUUUGCGGAACUGUUCGGGCUACUCCGCAGCUGGUACAGAUGCGGGCUACUCCGCAGCUGGUACAGAUGUUUCACUUCAACAAGAGAAGGCUCCUCCGACCCGCACCUCUCCCACAACACAAACAUUGCCGAGAGAACCCUCCACCCAUUUGGGUGUAGCUGACCUGGGGCCAGGUGCAUACCGCCCAGUAUCCUAGCAAAGUAAGGUUGAAGGGGCAGCCGAGCUCCUAGUCUAAAACUCUCCAAGUGCAUCGUCACAUACCCUUUCGGAGGCCGACUAGGGACAUCACCUUUCCAGGAACUACAAGAAGAACCUCGUUAGGGAUGUCGUAGAGAUUCCUAAGUUUAAAUAGAUCGGUGGGGGUGGUGGCACAAGCCAUGAAAUCAAUAGGGUAGGAAUGAGCCUCCACCCUAUGGCCUAGGUUCCUUUUCUGAGCAGGUCUGCUCGGUCCGGAACUGCUCCCCUCACCAUCACCAACUCCUUCAGGGAUCCCAACCCCGCCAAAGCUGUGGUUCUCACCAGAGCCCGACGCAGGUCCACCUCUAUUUCCUACAAGCUCUAAUUCGGGAGAGGGAGAGACAACCAGGGGGCGUGGGUACUCAAGGGUAUCCCUACCAUGGGGAGGACCUAUACUACUGGAGGGACCUAAAAAAUCGGUGGGUAUUGGCACAUUGAGGCCUGAAUCCCCUGAUUCUUCAUCACCCUCAUCAACAAUUAACUUCCUCUUCCGAUUUGACAUACCGGAAUCCCAAAAGAAAACACAGAAAACUCGAGUAUAUGGACACAAAGGGGCAACACAGAACCCAAUCAACAACAGCCGAAGAAAAGGUUAAAGGCUAUACCUGGAAUAGACUGACACUGAUAGCGCUGCCGUGACAGAGAAAACACCCAGCAAAUGGAUACUCCGGACGCUGGAAGUGUGAGCAAAGUUCAGAGAAAAAUUUGGUUAACGGCGGAGAAGCGAAUACCAAGAUGAUGAUGACUCCAGUCUAGGGAUUUGAAACGAAAAGGCGGAAAUGGAAGCAUUUAAGUGAUGGGAUAGGCCAGCUCACCCCCCAUAUAUCGAGGACGGAUAGCCCGUCGUUUCAAAUUUCAAAUACGAAGAGUCGGGAAACGCCACGUCACCAACCGUUACAAGAGGCCAGGAUAGAUGCAAGUCCAGAUAUGCAAUGGACAUGCUUAUUUAGGCCCAUGCUCAGGUCGGAAUCCCCUCCAGAACAAGAAUGAAACCUCAGAUCCGUCACCGGAGUAACAGAAGACCAGAUGAGAAGCCCCGGGCUGGUAAGAUUCAACCAUCAGUUUCUACUCUUAACUCAUUUUACUCGCAAGACCAGAAACUGGGGGACUGGUGUUAAGUAAAUAAAGGCACCAGGUCGGCCAUGCUACCAUUUCCACCCCGGCAUGAACCACCUCAGCCAAAUGAUACGAGCAGAACACGGAGACGCUGCUGUACCGUACAUCCGCCUUGGCCGUACAGCAGGCAUUAUUAGCACUGGAAAGUUAAAAAUAUAUUUUUUUUCAUUUUCUUAUUUCAUGUUUACUAUUUAAGGUGAACUAUUUUUAUUUUUUUUGGGAACUUAAUAUAAUUAUAUUUAUUAAAACUAUUUAUUUUUCAAUUAAUUCAUUUUAUAUUUACUUGGUAAAUUAUUAUUCAAUAGUACCACAAUGAAUCACUAUGUAUAAAUUAUUAUUAUCGAUGGCAUUAAAAGGAAAUUAUAAAGGUAUCUCAAAUUCUCCAUGAACAAAGACAGAACCUUAUUGGGACUGGCCGGCUAUAGCACAAACUCUCUGUAAAAGGCUUGUUACAAACUCAUCCAACUAAAUUUAUCAAAAUGAAACUAAUCUUUAGAAAACAAUACAUCAAUCCUAAGAGCCCCUAGCCGUUAAUUAUUUUGAAUAAAAGGAAUAAUUCUAGAAAAACUUGUUUAGUUGGAGAAGGGGUGUGUUCGGGAAGCAUACAUAUAUAAGGGUUAUUUAAGUGCAAUAAAAAUAAUGUGCAUUUUUAAUUGUUUAAUUAGGCUUAUUUAGAAGAGGGGUUUUAACAGAAAAAUAAAAGAGUGCAAAUAGAAGCCCCAUGGGAUCCAUAUUUUAU